Molecule: transfer RNA, 74 nt
Filed under: Blattabacterium punctulatus CPU2
Lineage: Bacteria; Pseudomonadati; Bacteroidota; Flavobacteriia; Flavobacteriales; Blattabacteriaceae
Description: tRNA-Asn
Rfam family: tRNA
About the family: Transfer RNA (tRNA) molecules are approximately 80 nucleotides in length.
Source: RNAcentral
UCCUCAGUAGCUCAGCUGGUCAGAGCACCUGACUGUUAAUCAGGGUGUCGCUGGUUCGAAUCCAGCCUGGGGAG